GAUGAACGCUGGCGGCGUGCCUAAUACAUGCAAGUCGAGCGAACGGACGAGAAGCUUGCUUCUCUGAUGUUAGCGGCGGACGGGUGAGUAACACGUGGAUAACCUACCUAUAAGACUGGGAUAACUUCGGGAAACCGGAGCUAAUACCGGAUAAUAUUUUGAACCGCAUGGUUCAAAAGUGAAAGACGGUUUUGCUGUCACUUAUAGAUGGAUCCGCGCUGCAUUAGCUAGUUGGUAAGGUAACGGCUUACCAAGGCAACGAUGCGUAGCCGACCUGAGAGGGUGAUCGGCCACACUGGAACUGAGACACGGUCCAGACUCCUACGGGAGGCAGCAGUAGGGAAUCUUCCGCAAUGGGCGAAAGCCUGACGGAGCAACGCCGCGUGAGUGAUGAAGGUCUUCGGAUCGUAAAACUCUGUUAUUGGGGAAGAACAUAUGUGUAAGUAACUAUGCACGUCUUGACGGUACCUAAUCAGAAAGCCACGGCUAACUACGUG
RNAcentral lists this ribosomal RNA (497 nucleotides) under uncultured bacterium. RNAcentral describes it as "partial 16S ribosomal RNA". It matches the Rfam family "Bacterial small subunit ribosomal RNA", at positions 28 to 507 of the family's 1533-position model. The record is from RNAcentral.